UGAAUACGAGAUGCUACGGCAUCGAAGCAGUCUAUGUCAUACUUCCGAGAAAAGCUUGCACUGUCAUAAACAAAUAAUGCCUGUACCAUAACCGACACAGGUGGGUAGGUAGAGUAUACUAAGGGGCGCGAGAUAACUCUCUCUAAGGAACUCGGCAAAAUGACUCCGUAACUUCGGGAGAAGGAGUGCCUUAUUUUAUAAGGUUGCAAUAACAAGAUCCAAGCAACUGUUUACCAAAAACACAGGUCUCCGCUAAGUCGUAAGACGAUGUAUGGGGGCUGACGCCUGCCCAGUGCCAGAAGGUUAAAGAAGUUGGUUAGCAUUAGCGAAGCUGAUAACUGAAGCCCUGGUGAACGGCGGCCGUAACAAUAACGGUCCUAAGGUAGCGAAAUUCCUUGUCGGGUAAGUUCCGACCCGCACGAAAGGCGUAAUGAUUUGGAUACUGUCUCGGAGAGGGGCUCGGUGAAAUAGACUUGUCUGUGAAGAUGCGGACUACCUGCACCAGGACAGAAAGACCCUAUGAAGCUUUACUGUAACUUGAGAUUGAAAUUGGACUUUAUUUGCGCAGUAUAGGUGGGAGACGUUGAAAAUAUUCUUGCGGGAAUAUUGGAGUCAUCAGUGAGAUACCACUCUUAUAAUGUUAGAUUUCUAACUUUGUAUCAUUAUCUGGUCAAAGAACAGUCUCAGGCGGGCAGUUUGACUGGGGCGGUCGCCUCCCAAACGGUAACGGAGGCGCACAAAGGUUUCCUCUGAACGUGUAGAAAUCGUAUCUAGAGUGUAAAGGCAUAAGGAAGCUUGACUGUGAGACCUACAAGUCGAGCAGGGACGAAAGUCGGUCUUAGUGAUCUGACGGUGCUGAGUGGAAAGGCCGUCACUCAACGGAUAAAAGUUACUCUAGGAUAACAGGCUGAUCUCCCCCAAGAGUUCACAUCGACGGGGAGGUUUGGCACCUCGAUGUCGGCUCAUCGCAUCCUGGGGCGGUAGUACGUCCCAAGGGUUGGGCUGUUCGCCCAUGAAAGCGGUACGCGAGCUGGGUUCAGAACGUCGUGAGACAGUUCGGUCCAUAUCCGGUGUAGGCGUUAGAAUAUUGAGAGGAGCCUUCUUUAGUACGAGAGGACCGAGAAGGACAUACCUCUGGUGUACCAGUUAUCGUGCCAACGGUAAACGCUGGGUAGCUAUGUAUGGAGAGGAUAACCGCUGAAAGCAUCUAAGUGGGAAGCCCACCUCAAGAUAAGUAUUCUCA
This 1243-nucleotide ribosomal RNA is filed under the name metagenome. Its description in RNAcentral is "bacterial LSU rRNA". It matches the Rfam family "Bacterial large subunit ribosomal RNA", at positions 1564 to 2816 of the family's 2925-position model. The record is from RNAcentral.